GAAAAGAAACCAACAGGGAUUGCCCUAGUAACGGCGAGUGAAGCGGCAACAGCUCAAAUUUGAAAUCUGGCCCCCCCACGGGGGUCCGAGUUGUAAUUUGCAGAGGGUGCUUUGGCGUUGGCUGUGGUCUAAGUUCCUUGGAACAGGACGUCGCAGAGGGUGAGAAUCCCGUAUGUGGCCGCCAGUCUUCGCCGUGUAAAGCCCCUUCGACGAGUCGAGUUGUUUGGGAAUGCAGCUCUAAAUGGGAGGUAAAUUUCUUCUAAAGCUAAAUAUCUGCCAGAGACCGAUAGCGCACAAGUAGAGUGAUCGAAAGAUGAAAAGCACUUUGGAAAGAGAGUCAAAAAGCACGUGAAAUUGUUGAAAGGGAAGCGCUUGCAGUUAGACGUGCCUCUAGUUGCUCAGCCGGGCCUUCGGGCCCGGUGCACUCUUCUAUUGGCAGGCCAGCAUCAGUCUGGGCGGUCGGAUAAAGGCCCAUUAAACGUGACUCCCUCCGGGGAGAGCUUAUAGGGUGGGCGACAUGCGAUCAGCCCGGACUGAGGUCCGCGCAUCUGCUAGGAUGCUGGCUUAAUAACUGUAAGCGGCCCGUCUUGAAACACGGACCAAGGAGUCUAACAUCUAUGCGAGUGUUUGGGUGUCAAGCCCGGACGCGUAAUGAAAGUGAACGGAGGUGGGAUCCCUUCGGGGUGCACCAUCGACCGAUCCUGAUGUCUUCGGAUGGAUUUGAGUAAGAGCAUAGCUGUUGGGACCCGAAAGAUGGUGAACUAUGCCUGAAUAGGGUGAAGCCAGAGGAAACUCUGGUGGAGGCUCGCAGCGGUUCUGACGUGCAAAUCGAUCGUCAAAUUUGGGCAUAGGGGCGAAAGACUAAU
Molecule: ribosomal RNA, 866 nt
Filed under: Neovaginatispora fuckelii
Lineage: Eukaryota; Fungi; Ascomycota; Dothideomycetes; Pleosporales; Lophiostomataceae
Description: eukaryotic LSU rRNA
Rfam family: Eukaryotic large subunit ribosomal RNA
Source: RNAcentral